Molecule: ribosomal RNA, 616 nt
Filed under: uncultured Legionella sp.
Lineage: Bacteria; Pseudomonadati; Pseudomonadota; Gammaproteobacteria; Legionellales; Legionellaceae
Description: bacterial SSU rRNA
Rfam family: Bacterial small subunit ribosomal RNA
Source: RNAcentral
UAGCUAGUUGGUAGGGUAAAGGCCUACCAAGGCGACGAUCGGUAGCUGGUCUGAGAGGAUGGCCAGCCACACUGGAACUGAGACACGGUCCAGACUCCUACGGGAGGCAGCAGUGGGGAAUAUUGGACAAUGGGGGCAACCCUGAUCCAGCAAUGCCGCGUGUGUGAAGAAGGCCUGAGGGUUGUAAAGCACUUUCAGUGGGGAGGAGGUUACUUAGGUUAAGAGCUAGAGUAAUGGACGUUACCCACAGAAGAAGCACCGGCUAACUCCGUGCCAGCAGCCGCGGUAAUACGGAGGGUGCGAGCGUUAAUCGGAAUUACUGGGCGUAAAGGGUGCGUAGGUGGUUUAUUAAGUUAGCUGUGAAAUUCCUGGGCUCAACCUGGGGUGGUCAGCUAAGACUGGUAGACUCGAGUAUGGGAGAGGGUAGUGGAAUUUCCGGUGUAGCGGUGAAAUGCGUAGAGAUCGGAAGGAACACCAGUGGCGAAGGCGGCUACCUGGCCUAAUACUGACACUGAGGCACGAAAGCGUGGGGAGCAAACAGGAUUAGAUACCCUGGUAGUCCACGCCGUAAACGAUGUCAACUAGCUGUUGGUUAUAUAAAAAUAAUUAGUGGCGC